AAUAACAAGCCUUAGAAUUGUCUCCAUUCUUUUGCUACUCAAAGUGUAGUCAGAGGGCCAGCAGCCUUAGCAACAUCCGGAAGCUUGUUAGAAAUGCAGAAUCUCAGACUCUGACUCAUCCCCAUUGAAAAGAAUCUACAUUUCAACAGGAUUCCCAGGUGACAGUAGAACAACAUUGGAGAAGCUCUGGUCUAGAAAACAUCCCACUUCACGGAUGUGGAAAGCGAGGCCCAGGAAGGGUGUGACCUAGCGAUCUUCCUUAGAGAAGCCCACAUGCACUUGAGGUCCUGAGCUGCCCUGUUAGAAGCCUGAGUUCCUGGAGCCAAGCCACAUGGAAAGUUCAGUAAACUGCAGCUGGGCCAGCCCAUGGGGAGUCCCUGGGGAGUCAGUCAAAUGUCUCAACAGUCACAAGAAUGCUUGCGUGCAGACGGGGCAACCACAGGCUCCAGGCCAUCACACAGAGUCCUGGUCUUUCUACCUUUUUCCAAAGAAGGGAGUAAGGCUGGAACAACCCCAACAAUGCUUCCGACAUUCCUAAUUUUAUCUCUAGUUUUGAAAGGACUUCUUGUUUGACUUAAGAGUGGGGGUGAGAGGUAAUGGGUUAUAGCAAUGACUCGCCAGAUACAGGCUAGGAGCUUCUUUGUCCACCUGGGUAAAUGUGUCUCAGUCAUCUCUAUAGUGGCGUCAGACCUACAAUUAAGAUUUUGUGCUGCCCGGCCCUGGGAAACUGGGAAGUCCUCGAAUGGCCUAACUGCAUCUCCUUACCCACUCCAGUCCCUCCGAUAAGGUCCCCUAGCCAAACAACCCACCUUAUCACAUGGACGAGGCACAGGGCCUGUUUAGCCCUGAGUAGCAGGCUUCAGUUCCCUGCCAGCUACAGAAAUAUUCAAAUCAAACAAUCACGUCCUCCUGGAGAAACCAGGAGUCCCUCCAACCUCUUGUUACUAUAAAGCCUGCCCCCGCACAGCCCCCGCUUGUUCACUCUGUUCCCGAUGACAACCCCUGUCCAGCUGUGGUGGCACAGGAUCUUCUUUCCUUGGACAACAGGCUGCCAUCAUUCUCCAGCAGUGGGGGUCAUAUGCGUGGCCAGCCCCCUAACCCUAGUGUAGAAUCCCUCCCUCGUGAACAAGCUGAAGAGCAAGCAAUCGAAACAUCUACGAUUUUCAAUUUUUUUCUUCUUUAGACCAAUCAUUAUGACUGCAUGAGAGAAUCCUCAUAUCUUUUCUUUCCAACGAAUUUUCCUUGGUCAGGAGGAUGGAGGUGGCGGGAGAAUGCAUGCAAAAUGUGCUUCAUAAUCUCUUUCUAGUUGAAAAUUAAGAGAUUUCUGCUUUGAUGGAAAAGUGAGUGCAGAGAGUGGCUGACGAAGGGUAGAAAAACCUCAGUCGGAGGGUUCCCUGAAGAUCAUUCACCUAGAAAGUUCAGAAAGUGAAUAAUGAUCACAAGAAAAUGUUUCAUCACACGAUAAAGAGUUGCACCACAGCAGCUAAUUCUUUAGAACCGGCCUAAUAGAGAAAUGACGACGAACUGUCUCAUCAUGAACGUUACUGUGGCAGAACAUCACUGACAAGAUGCUGCUGUAAUUUUCUGCUCUGUGGUACGUAUUUGGCCACAGUGACCUCACAGAACUUCGUACCACACAAUACGGCAAUCACCUUCAAUUGUUACCUUUAUGUGAUUUUUUUUUUUUUAC
Leptonychotes weddellii (Weddell seal) is the source of this 1690-nucleotide long non-coding RNA. RefSeq lists it as uncharacterized. Lineage: Eukaryota; Metazoa; Chordata; Mammalia; Carnivora; Phocidae. The record is from RefSeq and is a predicted model, not a curated record.